This 192-nucleotide ribosomal RNA is filed under the name uncultured bacterium. RNAcentral describes it as "partial 16S ribosomal RNA". It matches the Rfam family "Bacterial small subunit ribosomal RNA", at positions 335 to 524 of the family's 1533-position model. The record is from RNAcentral.
ACUCCUACGGGAGGCAGCAGUGAGGAAUAUUGGUCAAUGGGCGGAAGCCUGAACCAGCCAAGUAGCGUGCAGGAUGACGGCCCUACGGGUUGUAAACUGCUUUUAGGCGGGGGUAAAGUGGCGCACGCGUUGCGCCUUUGCAAGUACCGCCAGAAAAAGGACCGGCUAAUUCCGGCCAGCAGCCGCGGUAAU